GACGAACGCUGGCGGCGUGCCUAAUACAUGCAAGUCGAGCGGACCGGAUCGGGGCUUGCCUUGAUUCGGUCAGCGGCGGACGGGUGAGUAACACGUGGGCAACCUGCCCGCAAGACCGGGAUAACUCCGGGACACCGGCGCUAAUACCGGAUAACACCGAACACCGCAUGGUCUUCGGUUGAAAGGCGGCCUUUGGGCUGUGACUUGCGGAUGGUCACGCGGCGGAUUGGCUAGUUGGUGAGGUAACGCCUCGCCAAGGCGGCGUUGCGUAGCCGGACGGAUUGGGUGGCCGGCCGCACUGAGAGUGAGACAGGCCCCAGACGGACUGGGGAGGCAGCAGUAGGGAAUCGGGCGCAAGGGGCGAGAGCCUGACGGAGAGGGGCGGCGGGAGGGAGGAGGGCCGUCGGGUCGUAGAGGUCGGUUGUGGGGGAGGAAGGAGCGUCGUCCGAAGAGGGCGGGGCAGUGACGGUACCGCACGAGAAAGCCCCGGCUAACUACGUG
RNAcentral lists this ribosomal RNA (501 nucleotides) under uncultured bacterium. RNAcentral's name for it is "partial 16S ribosomal RNA". It matches the Rfam family "Bacterial small subunit ribosomal RNA", at positions 28 to 507 of the family's 1533-position model. The record is from RNAcentral.